This 248-nucleotide non-coding RNA is filed under the name Andreesenella acetica. RNAcentral describes it as "Clostridium aceticum T-box sequence". It matches the Rfam family "T-box leader". From Rfam's summary of the family: Uncharged tRNA acts as the effector for transcription antitermination of genes in the T-box leader family. T-boxes are found upstream of many aminoacyl-tRNA synthetase genes and some amino acid biosynthetic genes usually in Gram-positive bacteria. The anticodon of a specific tRNA base pairs to a specifier sequence within the T-box motif, and the NCCA acceptor tail of the tRNA base pairs to a conserved bulge in the T-box antiterminator hairpin. The record is from RNAcentral. Lineage: Bacteria; Bacillati; Bacillota; Clostridia; Peptostreptococcales; Natronincolaceae.
UGAUAGGUAAUGAUGGGAAGAGUAGGUGGAUGGACUUAGUGACAGAGAGCCGGGUUAGGUGAAAGCCGGUGCUAAGAAAAUUUACUGAAGAUGGCCCCUGAACUUCGUGAUUGAACUCUUUGAAAUAAGAUUUAGAUCAUGGCGGUAGCAACCGUUACAUUGCAGGGUGAUGAAUGUCACUUGUUGAGAUUAUUAUCGGAAGAUAAUAAUAAACUAGGGUGGUACCACGAGAAAAACUCGUCCCUAUA